AAAUUUAAUCACCUAAGAAUUAACCCCUUUGUAAUAAUUAUCUUUUUUUGCAAAUUUUGACUUUUUCAACGCAUAUGUGGCACUUCAUUAAAGGACCUAGCAGGCCACAUGUGUAAAUUGCUUUUAUAAAAAAAAUAAAAAGGCCACGCAUGUAUUUAUUGAUUUAAAAAAAAAAUUGACACUUUUGUUUUAUUUAAAAACUCACCCUUUUCUUCGUAUCUCAUCUUCAUACAUCUAUCAUAAAAAAUCCAGAAUUAAAAAAAAAAAAAAAAAAAAAAUCACCAUUUUCAAACAUUCAUCAUACAAUCCAAAAAAAAAAGAAAAUUAGCAGCAAUUAGAGAGAAUAUUAAAUUUGCAAAAACUAAAAAUUGAUAAUGAUUAUUUUAACAACAAGAAUCAAACUGGAACAAUAUAUUUAUUAUUGUUCUGGAUCGGUCAGAAGAUCAAUCGCAUGUUAACACGUGGCAUAACUUAUACCUCCAUAAGGCUCCAAGCCUGAAGGAGAAUGCUGGUUUAUGUGCACCGCACCGCACAGAAGCGCGCCCCCUUGCGAGGAUCACCUUACAUGUGUCCUCCUUUGUCCCUAAUCACAUGUCGCAUAAUCCGGACACGGUUAUGACUAACGUGCACCUAUAUAAGGGUGAACUUGCUUCACCCUCAAGGUAUGAUUCACU
This 674-nucleotide long non-coding RNA is filed under the name Medicago truncatula (barrel medic). Its description in RNAcentral is "long non-coding RNA (MTRU_LNC007145)". The record is from RNAcentral. Lineage: Eukaryota; Viridiplantae; Streptophyta; Magnoliopsida; Fabales; Fabaceae.